CUAAUCUACCGGAACAGGUUGUUUCAAACUGGGGCCUUGAUUUAAUUUGCUUAGAAUAAUUUCUGACGUUGAUUCAUUUUGUUGUAAAAGAAAAACCACUUUUCAGAUGAAUUAAAAUUGAGUCCUUGGCCAGAUGAGGGCAAGGCAAUUUAUUAAGCAAAGUGAUUCAAAAUAGGCGGCAUGUUUAACCCCUUAAGGACACUUGACAUGUGUGACGUCAUGAUUCCCUUUUAUUCCAGAAGUUUGGUCCUUAAGGGGUUAAAGGUAUUGAGCAAGCUGUUUGUUUA
Non-coding RNA from Pelobates cultripes (western spadefoot toad), 287 nucleotides. The record is from the annotation of a GenBank genome assembly. NCBI's taxonomy places the organism in Eukaryota, Metazoa, Chordata, Amphibia, Anura, Pelobatidae.